This 255-nucleotide ribosomal RNA is filed under the name uncultured bacterium. RNAcentral's name for it is "partial 16S ribosomal RNA". It matches the Rfam family "Bacterial small subunit ribosomal RNA", at positions 524 to 776 of the family's 1533-position model. The record is from RNAcentral.
UACGAAGGGGGCUAGCGUUGUUCGGAAUUACUGGGCGUAAAGCGCGCGUAGGCGGACAUUUAAGUCAGGGGUGAAAUGCCGGGGCUCAACCUCGGAACUGCCUUUGAUACUGGAUGUCUGGAGUUCGGGAGAGGUGAGUGGAAUUCCGAGUGUAGAGGUGAAAUUCGUAGAUAUUCGGAGGAACACCAGAAGCGAAGGCGGCUCACUGGCCCGAUACUGACGCUGGAGGCGACGAAAGCGUGGGGAGCAAACAGG